RNAcentral lists this ribosomal RNA (247 nucleotides) under uncultured bacterium. Its description in RNAcentral is "partial 16S ribosomal RNA". It matches the Rfam family "Bacterial small subunit ribosomal RNA", at positions 523 to 769 of the family's 1533-position model. The record is from RNAcentral.
AUACGGAGGGAGCUAGCGUUGUUCGGAAUUACUGGGCGUAAAGCGCGCGUAGGCGGUUUUUUAAGUCAGAGGUGAAAGCCCGGGGCUCAACCCCGGAAUUGCCUUUGAAACUGGAAGACUUGAAUCUUGGAGAGGUCAGUGGAAUUCCGAGUGUAGAGGUGAAAUUCGUAGAUAUUCGGAAGAACACCAGUGGCGAAGGCGACUGACUGGACAAGUAUUGACGCUGAGGCACGAAAGCGUGGGGAUC